CCCCCGGGCUGGGAACACCUCCAGGCCAGCGCUUUAGCAUCAUCCGAGGCUCUCCGCUUCCUCAGGGGGACCCGAGUUCUUCCACGCGACUCGCUCCUCUGAGAGGCGAUGCCUGGGAGUGUAAACCAUGCGAGUGUUCCUCUGCGGUUCCCCAAUUCCUAGCCCGACGCCUUGCACAGAGCGGGUCAUUCAAUGCAUGAAUGAAGAAAAGAGGAACCAAGGGGGGAAUUACGGAUGGAAAGCCAGUACUUGCUAUGGACCCCAGAGUGGAGAUUCUCUACAGAAUGACUAUUUGUGAGAAGGAUCUGAGCGGCCACUUCCAGGUAUUGCGCCAAGGGAGAGAAGGAAGAGGCGAUGCUAUGUAUAGGCUGUGCAGACCUGGCCCGAGUGUCUGUGCUUCGGCUUCCUUGUCUGUAUUUUGGGGCAGAAAUACCUGCAUCAUCGGCUGUGAAAACUGGAAGUGAUAACAUGAUACAUACAAUGCUGGGCACAGAGAAGGAGCUCUGUGAUUUUAGAUCCUGACUUUCACCUUUAUCUGCACUUGUGAUCCCUUCUUUAGGGCCCAGAUUUGAACCUAACAAAAAGUCGCUCCCCCUCGUCUUCUCCUUCCAAAUUUUAGAAACAUAGGGGUUCAUUUGCAGG
This 642-nucleotide long non-coding RNA is filed under the name Homo sapiens (human). Its description in RNAcentral is "non-protein coding lnc-TPO-9:1". The record is from RNAcentral. Lineage: Eukaryota; Metazoa; Chordata; Mammalia; Primates; Hominidae.